GUUUCCUCAUCUGAAGUGGGCCUCGUAAUGGUAGCUACCUUGUGAGACUAAGGCAGCCCCUGGGAGCUCAGGGAUGUUUCCUGUCACUAUCCUCCCAGAGGAAGGCUCUGGUCUCUUUGCACAGCCUGACAGCUGCCUGGGGGGCCCCCCUGGCGCAGGCCUGGCCUUUCUCUGCUGGGCCCUGGGUGCCGUGCUGGAACGCUGCCCCUGCAGCAGCUCACAGGCCUGCCUGGCUGCAGGUUCUUCUUCCGCAGUGGGAACAUCGAGCACCCGGAGGACAAGCUCUUCAACACGUCCGUGGAGGUGCUGCCCUUCGACGUAAGUUCGGUAGGUGUGGUGUGCACUGAAGCCGGGCCUCCUGUGGCCACCUGCUUCAGCCCUUGAUUCUGCCCCCAGAACCCUCAGUCAGACAAGGAGGCCCUGCAGGAGGGCCGCACCGCCACCCUCCGGUACCCUCGGAGCCCCGACGGCUACCUCCAGAUCGGUGGGUAGGGUUUGGGGGAGAGCGUGGGCUGGGGUUCGGGGACACCCUCUCAGCGCUGCCCUCCCCCAGGCUCCUUCUACAAGGGAGUGGCAGAGGGAGAGGUGGACCCAGCCUUCGGCCCUCUGGAAGCACUGCGCCUCUCGAUCCAGACGGACUCCCCUGUGUGGGUGAUUCUGAGCGAGGUGAGGCUGGGCAGGGCCAGGCCAGGCACGGGGAGGAGCCAGGGAGACCCUGGCGGAGC
RNAcentral lists this small RNA (725 nucleotides) under Pan troglodytes (chimpanzee). RNAcentral describes it as "retained intron". Lineage: Eukaryota; Metazoa; Chordata; Mammalia; Primates; Hominidae. The record is from RNAcentral.